CUGGUCAUUUUGGCAGCACAUGUACUAAAAUUAGAACAAUACAGACAAGGUAAGCAUGGAUCCUGCCCAAGGACGACAUGCAAAUUUGUAAAAACGGGCCUAAUUGU
Loxodonta africana (African savanna elephant) is the source of this 107-nucleotide small nuclear RNA. The record is from Ensembl. Lineage: Eukaryota; Metazoa; Chordata; Mammalia; Proboscidea; Elephantidae.